GAACGAAUAUGAAUAGAAGAGAAAAAGAAGUUAAAUAGAGAUUUAAUAAUUUUUCAUGAAAUAUAUAAAAAUACCCGUAUAAAGAAACGUAACUUUAUUCAUAUUCGUUAAAAUUCCAUAUAUUUGCAUAUCUAGACCGAGCACAUUUUUACAGACACGAAUUAAAUACUUUCUUUAAUUCCAAAGUACAAUAUCUUUAUAACAAAUCUUAGUUCCUUAGAAUCGAUCUCCCAUACACGAAAAGAAAUCGUGCAUAAUUCAUUCCUUCAACUUUUCGAACAAAGAUAUGCCCGAUACACGCGCAAUCGUUCCGCGAUUCAACUUUAACGAUUUAAAACGCAUCAUAUUCGCAUUAAAUCAUCGACGAGGCUGAACCAGAUGGAGAGAGGGAGAGGAGGAAAAAACGUGGAAAUCUAAAUCGAGCGAUUUUAACGGGGGCGGAAAUUAAAGCGGAGAUUCGCGAAACGCGGCGAACGUAUUCAUCCUGGAUCGUCCGAUCCCGCCGCGAUUUUAUUUUAAUUCGAACUUUUAGCACAAUCGCGUUCGGCAAUGCAAUUUUAAUGGCUCUCUGCUUGAAACUUGGCUAACAGUUUUCCCAUUGUUAUCGCAUAGAAACUACAAAACCUCGCAUGGAGCAAGUUGGCGGGGGUUGAAUUUUUAAAUAAUAAUGCGCCCCCGAAUAGAAUUUUUUGAGGAACAUGCUGAGAGGGAAGGAGAAGGGAGAAAGGAGGGGGGAUCGAUCAAACAUUGAUAUAUAAUCAUAAUAUAUUAUAACAAAUUCCGUGUAUUUUCUCUCGAUACAUUCCAAGUGAUAACAAAUAUUAAAAUUCAAUUGGAGAAAUUAAGAAAAUUUUUUACUGAAACACAUUUUGUGAAAUACAUCAUAUUAUCCAAUAUGAAGAAUGCUCGAAUAUAAUAUAAUAUAAUUAUUAUUUUCUUCAAAUUGAACAUUCUCGUAAUAUAUUACUAUAUAUAAUCUAAAAUAAAAAUUCCACGGAUAAAUGUAUACAAACUUUCAUCCGAAGAAUUCAUUUCUGAAACGGAAAUGGCGAAGAACAACAAGCAAAUCGACGACAUAUACCAUUUCAUUCCCUAUCUAUCGAUUUAUCUAACGACGACGACUUACAAUCCCCGAUUUUAAUGCGAGCAACCCGGCUGCAUCUUUCGCGGGACAAUCGUGGAACGAUCGUGGCGCAUGAGAAAUGUUCCACGGAGCAAAGAAACGGCGGAAGUCUCCCCGCCGGUUAAUGCUCUUUGUCCUUCCAACAAAGGGGGCGUCCUUUGUGCCUGAACGCGUACCGCCACUUUUUGAACGAUGUUUUCCCGUGAAUUUUCGCCCCUUUCAUCCGUGAAAUAAUGCGGCAAAUAAUUCAUUGGGAACACGAGAACCAAGAAAGGGAAAAUACCUCGUGACGGAAGUUAACGGAAGCGGUGAAGUUGAAGGGAACUUGGGAGGAGGAGGAGGAGGAGGUGCAGGGUUUGUCGGUUGGAGCGUUACGGUUGCCAUGUUGGAGAGCGGUUAGGAAGGGAGGGAGGAGACCAAAUUCGAGAGCAAAUAUCCGAAAUUGAAGCAAUCGAAGCGUGUAAAAUGUUUCCGCCAAGAGUGGUAAAAGUGGUUGAUCUGAAAACGGAACGAGAUAUAUUUCCAUUGACAGUUCCUUCCGGGGAUUGUGGAGGGAGAGAAUCGAGAUCGAUCGAUGGACGGAUCGAUUCUCCAACAACUGGCGAAGCUAUUGAGAUUAAGGUUAUUAUUGGCUCAACUUUCUAUAAAUCUUUGAAUAUAGAGGGAACUGGAAUUUGUAUAAUUUUUUUUCAUAGGCAUUUGAAACUCUUAUCCAUCAAUUCGAUCUACCAGUCGAGCAUGGCCAUUGCUCAACCGAUUUUGACGUGUUACAAAGUCAAUCCUUUCGGUGAGUGAAAUUGAACUCAUAUCUAUUUACUUCGACAGUGUUCGAUACCAACUGGUUCAUCUUGUAUAAAGUAUAUGUAUACAUCAUCUGUCAAAUUGAAGAUCAAUGGAUACGUCAUUGAUCAAAAAAAAAAAAACUUGAGACA
Molecule: long non-coding RNA, 2055 nt
Filed under: Apis mellifera (honey bee)
Lineage: Eukaryota; Metazoa; Arthropoda; Insecta; Hymenoptera; Apidae
Description: uncharacterized LOC102653731, transcript variant X2
Source: RNAcentral